GAUACCUGGAAUGAGCUGUACUUGGCAUAGGAGCCUUUCCCUUGGAAAUCUUCUCUCCAGAGUGUGGCCGCUGUGUGCAAACCUCUUAUGCCCCACACUGAGCCUCCUCACUCACGGUCCAGCCCCCACCGUCCACAUCCAUGUCACAGAGCACAGUCAGUGGCCGGCAGUCAGGAAGAUGGAUGGUGUACCAGCCAGUCAGGAAGAUGCCCCGUGUCAGCAAGUCUUUGCAGCUCCGGGGUCCUGUACCAUGGGGAAGUGGGCAGGGUUGGCCUGUAUCUGGGGUAUACUCCCUGGGUGGGGUCCUGCUGUAUUCUUGAGAGCAGGAAGUAGGAGGGGCCAGCUGAGAGGUCACUUACCUCUCUGGCACAGGGUGUCUCCCAGCUCCUUUUCACCUGGGCAGAGUCAUGAGUGUUAUUUUCUUCCUUGGUCCCUUCCCAUCACAUAUAACUCCCCUAGACUCCAUAUUCUACUUGGCAUACAUGGUGCCGUACCCUCCUGCUAAAGAGCCCAGCACACCCAUCCUGGCUGGCCCCAUUAGGCUCCUUUGUGUUUGGCUGCUGUUAUGCAUUGUCCUGUCUGUGACUAUACCCAGAGUUGGGAUAGGUCAGGGUGCUGGCUGGGAGGCUGGCUGGGCCCACAGAUGCUUCAUGCUACUUCAGCCCCCGAAGCUCACUCUUCUUCACUCACAACCAGAGGGUAAAGACACUGGAAACGUUAGAAGAGACUAUGGGAUGUACUUACCCAGAGAUGGCGCAGCUCCUGUAUCGCCUUUCUCCCCUGGAGGAAUACAGCAUACUAGCCUUGUCCCAGAGCUGGAAUCCUGCCACAUCCUCUCCUGUACCCCUCCCAGCUUCCAGCCUCUCCCCUAGUCUGUGAGCCCCCAACAUUCUGAUAUGCAUAAUGAUCCGGGGAGACUUUGGGGACCCCUGAAGUAGUGCUUCUGGGAACACCCACCUUUCUUUGUAUUCAAGACUCCCCUUAAGCCAACAAGACCCUAAUCCCAUAUUGCUCCAUGUGGAGCUGUCCUUCCUGGUCCCUUCCUAAGGAGACUUGUUUACUAGGCUCACCUUUAACUCCCGGGGGCCCCAUGGUUCCUGGCUCUCCUGUAGACAGAAGGGGCAUUCUUACAGUGCUGGUUCUUUUUCACUUCAGUGUGUGUGUGUGUGUGUGUGUGUGUGUGUGUGUGUAUCCACCUAUGUGUCCAUCCAUGCGAGCAGAACUUGUAGGAGAGAGAUCUGAAUGCCCAGCCUGUAGGAAGGGGGCAGGCAUGCAUCUGGACAUAGGGGAGGAUGGUGUGUGGGCUCAGGUGCUACUGGCACCACUCUCAAGACCUGUCUGGAUCUUAGGCAGAUAGACCCAUGUGAGAAUUCCCUCUUACCUUUGCUGCCGGCAGGUCCCAUCUUUCCUGGGCUGCCCUGAAAGCCCCGUUCUCCUGUAAACACAAGGACUAAACUGGAUCUCAUCUCCUAGGCUGCCCUUCUAAAAUGUCCCAUCUCCUGCUGCCACAUGUGCAGGCAUAUGCAGGCUGCUGACCUCCCUCUGUCCUCACUGGCACCAGUUCCUACAGGAAGUGCUCUUUCCUGCCCCAGGCCUGAACCCUGAGGUUCAUCGGAGUAGCCAGCUCUCUAACAGCAAUGGCUUCCCCCAUCUCCAACUGCAGCAAGCUGAGCACAGCCCAGGCGUGUUGUAUGCAGCAGGCGGCUUAUAUUGCAGCAGCUUCUGGCUGAGUCUCCAGUUCCCAACUCCCUGCAGAGGCACGGGGACUCAUGCACAACUGCUUCUGGUUUUCUAUAUUCUCUCAGGGAAUCUGAAGUAUUGGCUACAGACCCAGGCUUGCCUGCCACUUCAAGGUGCAGAGUGGUGAGUGCCACUACAAAGAAUAACUAUGUGAUGGAGAGGUGAGUGUUGAGGCCCCUCUGCCCAGCAUAGCUGUAGCCAUUUUGUUCCAUACCCCCCAGCUAUUUCAUAAUGUUGCUGUAAUCUGCCCGCCAGUCAUUGACACAGAAAAGUAAUUUGACUGAGAGCAAGGUCAAGAUGACCACAUACCCUUAUAUGUUUUGUAUGUACUGAGGUUUGUUAAUCUUAAGACAUUCCAGAACCACAAGCUACACUUUAGGACCCAUCAAAUUAAAGGUCAAUACGAACUGGUUGUCUAAAACAGCUUGAGUCAGGGCCGAUCACUGGGCAGCACUUCCAGCACUUGCAUAUGAGCUCAUUGUGGUUUUUAUGAUUCUAGCCUUUAUAAGCUGGCCCUGAGAAGUGUCCAGUGUGUAGCUUCCACUUGUGCAGCCGGAGCUGUCACCCUGGUCCGAUCAGUCUUGGAGUGUGCAUUCAAUAAACCAACCCUGUUUAACUGAGA
Molecule: long non-coding RNA, 2362 nt
Organism: Mus musculus (house mouse)
Lineage: Eukaryota; Metazoa; Chordata; Mammalia; Rodentia; Muridae
Gene: Fcnaos
Product: ficolin A, opposite strand
Exons: 6
Source: RefSeq, a predicted model, not a curated record